UACCCGCGGCAAGACGGAAAGACCCCGUGAACCUUUACUAUAGCUUGACACUGAACACUGGUCCUUGAUGUGUAGGAUAGGUGGGAGGCUUUGAAGCGUGGACGCCAGUCUGCGUGGAGCCAUCCUUGAAAUACCACCCUUUAAUGGCUGGUGUUCUAACGUAGACCCGUGAUCCGGGUUGCGGACAGUGUCUGGUGGGUAGUUUGACUGGGGCGGUCUCCUCCCAAAGAGUAACGGAGGAGCACGAAG
RNAcentral lists this ribosomal RNA (249 nucleotides) under Enterobacter hormaechei subsp. xiangfangensis. RNAcentral's name for it is "partial 23S ribosomal RNA". It matches the Rfam family "Bacterial large subunit ribosomal RNA", at positions 2067 to 2315 of the family's 2925-position model. The record is from RNAcentral. Lineage: Bacteria; Pseudomonadati; Pseudomonadota; Gammaproteobacteria; Enterobacterales; Enterobacteriaceae.